AAAAUGAAAUUGGAAAUGAGUAGUGGAUAAAAGAAAAGGAAAAUGAAAUAAAAAGCAAUUUAUGACAUCUUGAUGAUGUCAUUUAAAAGCCAUAACCAAUCACAAUUAAGUAACCAUUUGACUAACUAAUAAAAGAAAUAAUUGAGACAAAAAAAUAAAAGAAAAACCAGCAGCCACCUCUUUCCAUUUUCAGCCGAAACCCUUGCCCAUAGCCAACCUCCAUUGCCAACUUCCAUCAAGCUUAUUUUCUCUCUUCUUUUCACCAUAAACCCUAAACCCCUUUCAUUAAAAGUUGUCCACUCAUCUUGGGAGAGUGUUUGGCAGCCUAGAAAGUGAAGGAAAGUGAAGAUUUAACUUGGAAAAAAUCUGCCCUAUUCAAGGUUAGUGCAUUAGAUACCUAAAACUCUUUAUUUUUAUGAUUUGUAACUUGAAUUGAGUAAGAAUUGUAACUAAAAUGAACAAGAAUUAUGUGUAUACAUACUAUGAAUUUUCGGCAGCCCUUGUGAAGGAAUUAUUUUGAUUGUUUUAAUGAACUUAGAGUGGCUAGAAAUGAUGUUUAAGCUAAGAAUAUGCAUGGAUGUUGAACUAGUAUGCUAAUUAAGGUUUAUGUGUAAUUUGAAUUGGACAUUAGGGUUUUGAGAAGUGAAAGAUUGACUUGGCUUAGGAAAUUGUUAGAGAACAUUUUAAUGGUCAAUUAGUGACUAUUUUAGGUAAGUUGAGCACAAUUUGGACUAAAAAAUAGGAUUGCAAAGUGAAGAUGUAGGCUCCCCUAGGACAGUAGCAGAGGGACUGAAAAUUCAGUCCACUUGGACUGCCAUAACUUGGGCUGUGUUGGUCCAAUUGGUGUUUGGCCAAUU
RNAcentral lists this unclassified non-coding RNA (857 nucleotides) under Hevea brasiliensis (rubber tree). The record is from RNAcentral. Lineage: Eukaryota; Viridiplantae; Streptophyta; Magnoliopsida; Malpighiales; Euphorbiaceae.